This 253-nucleotide ribosomal RNA is filed under the name uncultured bacterium. Its description in RNAcentral is "partial 16S ribosomal RNA". It matches the Rfam family "Bacterial small subunit ribosomal RNA", at positions 524 to 776 of the family's 1533-position model. The record is from RNAcentral.
UACGAAGGGGGCUAGCGUUGUUCGGAAUUACUGGGCGUAAAGGGCGCGUAGGCGGUGUGUCAAGUCAGGCGUGAAAGCCCCGGGCUCAACCUGGGAACCGCGCUUGAGACUGGCACGCUAGAGUUCGGGAGAGGAUGGUGGAAUUCCCAGUGUAGAGGUGAAAUUCGUAGAUAUUGGGAAGAACACCGAUGGCGAAGGCAGCCAGCUGGACCGACACUGACGCUGAGGCGCGAAAGCGUGGGGAGCAAACAGG